RNAcentral lists this small RNA (598 nucleotides) under uncultured bacterium. Its description in RNAcentral is "bacterial SSU rRNA". The stretch from base 1 to 333 matches the Rfam family "Bacterial small subunit ribosomal RNA", at positions 1205 to 1533 of the family's 1533-position model. The record is from RNAcentral.
UGUCUUGGGCUGCACACGUGCUACAAUGGCCGGUACAAUGAGCUGCGAUGCCGUGAGGUGGAGCGAAUCCCAAAAAGCCGGUCUCAGUUCGGAUUGGGGUCUGCAACUCGACCCCAUGAAGUCGGAGUUGCUAGUAAUCGCAGAUCAGCAUUGCUGCGGUGAAUACGUUCCCGGGCCUUGUACACACCGCCCGUCACGUCACGAAAGUCGGUAACACCCGAAGCCGGUGGCCCAACCCCUUGUGGGAGGGAGUCGUCGAAGGUGGGACUGGCGAUUGGGACGAAGUCGUAACAAGGUAGCCGUACCGGAAGGUGCGGCUGGAUCACCUCCUUUCUAAGGAGCUUCUUGGCUGCGUAAGCGGUCCAGGCCAGUUCAUCGGCGAGUGUCCGGUGCUGGUUGCUCAUGGGUGGAACGUUGACUAUUCGGCGCGAUCAGGGAUGUUCAUUAGUACUGCUUCGGUGUGGAACGUGGAUCGGGUCUGGUCGGGUUGGGCGCGCUGUUGGGUUCUCAGGGAACGGCUGUGCUGUUUUCUUGAGUGUUGGUUGUUUGAGAACUGCAUAGUGGACGCGAGCAUCUGUGGCCAAGUUUUUAAGGGCGC